UAGACCGCCUGGGGAGUACGGCCGCAAGGUUAAAACUCAAAUGAAUUGACGGGGGCCCGCACAAGCGGUGGAGCAUGUGGUUUAAUUCGAUGCAACGCGAAGAACCUUACCUGGUCUUGACAUCCACGGAAAUUUUCAGAGAUGAGAAUGUGCCUUCGGGAACCGUGAGACAGGUGCUGCAUGGCUGUCGUCAGCUCGUGUUGUGAAAUGUUGGGUUAAGUCCCGCAACGAGCGCAACCCUUAUCCUUUGUUGCCAGCGAUUAGGUCGGGAACUCAAAGGAGACUGCCAGUGAUAAACUGGAGGAAGGUGGGGAUGACGUCAAGUCAUCAUGGCCCUUACGACCAGGGCUACACACGUGCUACAAUGGCGCAUACAAAGAGAAGCGACCUCGCGAGAGCAAGCGGACCUCAUAAAGUGCGUCGUAGUCCGGAUUGGAGUCUGCAACUCGACUCCAUGAAGUCGGAAUCGCUAGUAAUCGUGGAUCAGAAUGCCACGGUGAAUACGUUCCCGGGCCUUGUACACACCGCCCGUCACACCAUGGGAGUGGGUUGCAAAAGAAGUAGGUAGCUUAACCUUCGGGAGGGCGCUUACCACUUUGUGAUUCAUGACUGGGGUGAAGUCGUAACAAGGUAACCGUAGGGGAACCUGCGGUUGGAUCACCUCCUUACCUUAAAGAAGC
Molecule: ribosomal RNA, 680 nt
Filed under: Salmonella enterica subsp. enterica serovar Muenchen
Lineage: Bacteria; Pseudomonadati; Pseudomonadota; Gammaproteobacteria; Enterobacterales; Enterobacteriaceae
Also listed under: 1 other name
Description: bacterial SSU rRNA
Rfam family: Bacterial small subunit ribosomal RNA
Source: RNAcentral